UUGGUUGGUGCGCGCAGGCACCGCCCCUUUUUCUGCGACCGGAGCGUCCCUCGCGGCGGGGGUCUUCCGUUCUGACUCCACCGGCUCCGCGCCCCGGAAGUUCGAGGAGCCGAUAGACCAGCUUUCCGGCACCUUCCGGUUUAAAAACCAGGCCAGGGUUUUGCCCGAGAAGGAGCCACUCCCGGGCCGAGUUAGCCGGUGAGAGGGAGAUAGGCGCCGGCAGACGCUGCUCUCAGCAUCAGGACCUUAAAGAUGCCUGGUGAGCCAGCCUUUUUCCGCCCCCUCCGCCUCCUCACUUAUUGGUCCUUCAGGGUCCUUGGUGCUGGAGGAUGUGGUAGGGGAGGGUCGUUCGCAAUGCCUUCAGCCCUGCAGCCAGCUCAAAAGUCUCAGUGCUUUUUGUCCUUGAGUUUCCACUAACCUUAGUCCUUCCACUAUCUUUAAAUGACGCUUUGCCUUGUCUUUAAGCCAAGGUUCUUCCAUUAUGUCAGAAUUCAGCGCAGAACACACACGCCCAUCGAGAUUCUACGCCUGAACUCGCCUUAUUAGCCUCCCUUCUCCCCUCCAAGCCUGUCCCACUUUAGAGCUCAAGUGCCCUCCGCGAGGUCUGGCUUGGCUGCUAAGUGCCUUUGCGGUAGGAGGCAAUGCUUUUUUUCCUUCUUGGAAACGAGAUGCCUGUUGUACCAGCAGAAUGACAUGUGCUCUAUGGUAGGAGAAAUUGGUCGGUUUUGUGUACGUGUAAGAAACUUAACUGCAGCUGUCCGUUGUUAACGCCAAAGCUUGUCUUUUGAACCCUCGCGUUCCCAGCUCUUGACUAGCCACCCGGCCAGCCUGAAAGCCCUUCCUUACGGACUGCAUUUUUUUUUAAUACCUUCUGGCUCUGUAUUUUUGUUUCAUCAGAGCAAAAUGAUUUACUGUAUCUGGUUGGCUCAUCCCUGCCUUUGCAUUGUUGAGUCCAGCACCUGCUUUUGCUGCUGCUGCUAUUGCAGGGAAAAGCCAAUCUGUUGGAACUGUCUUUGACUUGCUUUUCCUUGCUUUUGUUAUUAUAAUCAUACAUAAUGGCUUACCUCUGAGAAUCAUGCCCUUCUGCCUGUUAAAAUGCCUUUGUUCAGAGACCUGUCCACCUCUAGAUGGCAGGAAGGAGGAACAUAUACCCUGCCUGAGGCCUGCCAUUCUAGGAGACAGCUGCAAGAUUAAUGGCUUUUUUAUUUUGUUUCCUCACCUCCCCCCAUCUCUGAUCAAUAAAAGAACCUGGUAUCCAGACCCCAAGAUGGUUAUUUUGAGAUAUUAGUCUGCCAUCUUCUCGGUCAGUCAGCUCUCGGAAUAAAGUUGUAUUCCUUGUCUCAUCCCCCUCCUCUGCAAUUCAUUGGCCUGUUGUAAAGCGAGCAGAGUGAGCUUAGACAAGAUAACUUGUUUAGUCCCUAAGGCGUGUCUUAUUCUUUUGUGACCCCACAGACUGUAGCCCGUAAGGCUCCUCUGUCCAUGGGAUUUCCCAGGCAAGAAUACUGGAGUGGGUUGCUGUUUCCUUCUCCAGGGGAAUCUUCCCAACCCAGAGAUCCUGUCUCCUGCCUGGCAGGAGAGCAGAGUCAGCUUCAGUGAGGUCACGUCACUCCUUUGCUGGGCUUCCCUGGUGGCUCAGACGGUGAAGAAUCUGUCUGCAAUGCAGACACCCGGAUUUGAUCUGUGGGUCAGGAAGAUCUCCUGGAGGAGAGCAUGGCUACCAACUCCAUUAUUCUUGCUUGGAGAAUUCCAUGAACAGAGGAGCCUGGUGGGCUGUAGUCCAUGGGAUCGCAAAGAGUCAGACACAACUGGGCAACUAACACUUCCACUUCAGAGCUCAGAAUAAAUGUCAAAAGUCCUUA
This is a long non-coding RNA of Bubalus bubalis (water buffalo), 1859 nucleotides long. RefSeq lists it as uncharacterized. Lineage: Eukaryota; Metazoa; Chordata; Mammalia; Artiodactyla; Bovidae. The transcript is spliced from 2 exons. The record is from RefSeq and is a predicted model, not a curated record.